RNAcentral lists this ribosomal RNA (258 nucleotides) under Triticum aestivum (bread wheat). Its description in RNAcentral is "partial small subunit ribosomal RNA". Lineage: Eukaryota; Viridiplantae; Streptophyta; Magnoliopsida; Poales; Poaceae. The record is from RNAcentral.
AUGAGGGGUACUGAUCCACGCUUCGAUCCCUUUUGCGUAUGGGGCAAUGAGAUAUUCAUGAACAAGCGUCAAGUGAGGAAACUAAGAAAGAUUGUUAGGCGAAAGAAACGGCUAUUUACUGAUGAUUACCUUGCAAACUACAUGACCGGAGUGGAGGCAACUAAGGUUAAAGUAUAUAAUUCAUGCUACCAUGAUAAUGCUGUAGAAGUAUUCCUGAAGGCGGUGAAGGAUGGGCGGGCGGUCGUCACAAGGGGUUGA